GUCCUGGCCGUAAACGAUGGGUACUAGGUGUAGGAGGUAUCGACCCCUUCUGUGCCGGAGUUAACGCAAUAAGUACCCCGCCUGGGGACUACGAUCGCAAGAUUGAAACUCAAAGGAAUUGACGGGGGCCCGCACAAGCGGUGGAGUAUGUGGUUUAAUUCGACGCAACGCGAAGAACCUUACCAAGGCUUGACAUUGAGUGAAAGACCCAGAGAUGGGUCCCCUUCUUCGGAAGCACGAAACAGGUGGUGCAUGGCUGUCGU
RNAcentral lists this ribosomal RNA (263 nucleotides) under uncultured bacterium. RNAcentral's name for it is "partial 16S ribosomal RNA". It matches the Rfam family "Bacterial small subunit ribosomal RNA", at positions 793 to 1055 of the family's 1533-position model. The record is from RNAcentral.